Molecule: long non-coding RNA, 1365 nt
Organism: Pygoscelis adeliae (Adelie penguin)
Lineage: Eukaryota; Metazoa; Chordata; Aves; Sphenisciformes; Spheniscidae
Exons: 3
Source: RefSeq, a predicted model, not a curated record
GCAUGCAAGCCAUUAGAAACCAUUCCAAAUGAGGCUGAUGCUCGCCUCAUUGAUUGUGCCAUGGAGCUGGAUUCUAAACAGAAAAUCUCCACCGACUGUGGUCCUUGGACUACAAAGACAAAGCAAAAUUCAAUGACUUUUGAAAACCAUGGAAGCAGAGGUACUGCCCAGCCUUGCCCAAGAUGUAUUGCUGGAGAAUCUGGGCACUUCAGUCAUAUCCUGGGCUUCUAGAAAUUGAGAGACGGCAGACCAGCAACACUGCUUUUCUUUUUAAAUUCUAAAGAUGCACCUGUGAACCCUGUACAGCUGGGUAUCUGUACAUUCACUCAUGGCAUGGAUUUGUGUGUGGUAUUCAGCAUAUAGCAGUUUGCUAUAUGUGUUACUCUUUCAGUGCACAAUUAUGGAUAUCAUUGUUUUUACACUUGAAAAAAUGCUUCUGCUUUUAAGGUAGCUCAGUAUAUGUUAAAAAAAAAAAAAGUUGAUUAAUGUUUUAGAGUAGUUAAGUUGAUCUGGCCUUUGGCCCAGUCUUCACCUGGGACUGGGCCAAAGGUCAUGUUGAUACAAGAGAUUUUUCUGUCUCUCUUGGGCACUUUCUCUGAUACUCUUGGAAAGCGGCCCUUGCAUUUACAUGGGUACAGGGCCUGCAGUUUUAGCUCAGCCCUGUAUAUGCAGCAGAAAUGGGAGGACAGAAAUGUCUGCAUUUUUAGAUGGCUAUUCAGCUGUGAAGGCCAGUAAAAAUCCCAUUGAAACUUACGUUUAAAUCCAAAAUAUGCAUCCAAUUCAGGUAUCUUACACGCUAAACUUCUUGUUUGUUUAUAACAAGCAGAGUUUGCGAAUGUGGCAGGUAAAUAUCUAAUAGAAGAAGCAGUAUUACUUGAACAACCCUCCGUAAAGUGAAGAUGAAUCGUAAUUCAGCUCUGUGGAGUUCUCACAAAGUUGUUAAGAUACCAUCUGUCACUCCCUGACUCUGUCUUUCCAGUUAUUGUGAUAUUAGAACAAAUCUGUUUAAAAAGUCUUAAACUUGUCAUCCAACAUGAUUUUACUGGCUUGUCACAAAUAAUUUCAUCUAUGUUUUGCCAGUAUAUAGGACUAUAUAAUUUUUAAACACAUGCAAAUUUUUAGACUCUUAAGAUAGCCGAGUUGUGCUAUUUGGGUGUGACACUUCAGUGGCUGCUCUGGGAUAGGCAGAAGAGUCCUGAAAGCUCAGAACUGAAUGGCAGUACGUUAACCCUCUGCAUUGGAGGGAAAUUGCUGUGACCUGCCGAAGUUCACAAAGAAAGCAAUCUCCGCUGUCUGGAGAACUGCUGAGCUAUAGCUGUGCCCUGCUGCCAGUCAGCUUUCGGGCAGAGUUCAACCCAAAACAGA